CGAAUGCUGACAUAAGUAACGAUAAAGCGGGUGAAAAGCCCGCUCGCCGGAAGACCAAGGGUUCCUGUCCAACGUUAAUCGGGGCAGGGUGAGUCGACCCCUAAGGCGAGGCCGAAAGGCGUAGUCGAUGGGAAACAGGUUAAUAUUCCUGUACUUGGUGUUACUGCGAAGGGGGGACGGAGAAGGCUAUGUUGGCCGGGCGACGGUUGUCCCGGUUUAAGCGUGUAGGCUGGUUUUCCAGGCAAAUCCGGAAAAUCAAGGCUGAGGCGUGAUGACGAGGCACUACGGUGCUGAAGCAACAAAUGCCCUGCUUCCAGGAAAAGCCUCUAAGCAUCAGGUAACAUCAAAUCGUACCCCAAACCGACACAGGUGGUCAGGUAGAGAAUACCAAGGCGCUUGAGAGAACUCGGGUGAAGGAACUAGGCAAAAUGGUGCCGUAACUUCGGGAGAAGGCACGCUGAUAUGUAGGUGAAGUCCCUCGCGGAUGGAGCUGAAAUCAGUCGAAGAUACCAGCUGGCUGCAACUGUUUAUUAAAAACACAGCACUGUGCAAACACGAAAGUGGACGUAUACGGUGUGACGCCUGCCCGGUGCCGGAAGGUUAAUUGAUGGGGUCAGCGCAAGCGAAGCUCUUGAUCGAAGCCCCGGUAAACGGCGGCCGUAACUAUAACGGUCCUAAGGUAGCGAAAUUCCUUGUCGGGUAAGUUCCGACCUGCACGAAUGGCGUAAUGAUGGCCAGGCUGUCUCCACCCGAGACUCAGUGAAAUUGAACUCGCUGUGAAGAUGCAGUGUACCCGCGGCAAGACGGAAAGACCCCGUGAACCUUUACUAUAGCUUGACACUGAACAUUGAGCCUUGAUGUGUAGGAUAGGUGGGAGGCUUUGAAGUGUGGACGCCAGUCUGCAUGGAGCCGACCUUGAAAUACCACCCUUUAAUGUUUGAUGUUCUAACGUGGACCCGUGAUCCGGGUUGCGGACAGUGUCUGGUGGGUAGUUUGACUGGGGCGGUCUCCUCCUAAAGAGUAACGGAGGAGCACGAAGGUUGGCUAAUCCUGGUCGGACAUCAGGAGGUUAGUGCAAUGGCAUAAGCCAGCUUGACUGCGAGCGUGACGGCGCGAGCAGGUGCGAAAGCAGGUCAUAGUGAUCCGGUGGUUCUGAAUGGAAGGGCCAUCGCUCAACGGAUAAAAGGUACUCCGGGGAUAACAGGCUGAUACCGCCCAAGAGUUCAUAUCGACGGCGGUGUUUGGCACCUCGAUGUCGGCUCAUCACAUCCUGGGGCUGAAGUAGGUCCCAAGGGUAUGGCUGUUCGCCAUUUAAAGUGGUACGCGAGCUGGGUUUAGAACGUCGUGAGACAGUUCGGUCCCUAUCUGCCGUGGGCGCUGGAGAACUGAGGGGGGCUGCUCCUAGUACGAGAGGACCGGAGUGGACGCAUCACUGGUGUUCGGGUUGUCAUGCCAAUGGCACUGCCCGGUAGCUAAAUGCGGAAGAGAUAAGUGCUGAAAGCAUCUAAGCACGAAACUUGCCCCGAGAUGAGUUCUCCCUGACCCUUUAAGGGUCCUGAAGGAACGUUGAAGACGACGACGUUGAUAGGCCGGGUGUGUAAGCGCAGCGAUGCGUUGAGCUAACCGGUA
RNAcentral lists this ribosomal RNA (1629 nucleotides) under Escherichia coli. RNAcentral's name for it is "partial 23S ribosomal RNA". It matches the Rfam family "Bacterial large subunit ribosomal RNA", at positions 1291 to 2900 of the family's 2925-position model. The record is from RNAcentral. Lineage: Bacteria; Pseudomonadati; Pseudomonadota; Gammaproteobacteria; Enterobacterales; Enterobacteriaceae.